CCCCUAGAUGUUCUGGGCCGCACGCGCGCUACACUGAACAGUUCAACAAGUCUUAACCUUGGCCGAUAGGUCUGGGUAAUCUUUGAACGCUGUUCGUGAUGGGGAUAGAACUUUGGAAUUAUUGUUCUUGAACGAGGAAUGCCUAGUAAGCGCACGUCAUUAGCGUGCGCUGAUUAAGUCCCUGCCCUUUGUACACACCGCCCGUCGCUCCUACCGAUUUCGAGUGGUCCGGUGAAUCUUUCGGACUGCGCGUGGCUUCGUGCCAUGUCGCGGAAAGUCAGGUAAACCUUAUCACUUAGAGGAAGGAGAAGUCGUAACA
This 319-nucleotide ribosomal RNA is filed under the name uncultured eukaryote. RNAcentral describes it as "partial 18S ribosomal RNA". It matches the Rfam family "Eukaryotic small subunit ribosomal RNA", at positions 1470 to 1796 of the family's 1831-position model. The record is from RNAcentral.